GAUGAACGCUGGCGGCGUGCCUAAUACAUGCAAGUCGAGCGAACGGACGAGAAGCUUGCUUCUCUGAUGUUAGCGGCGGACGGGUGAGUAACACGUGGAUAACCUACCUAUAAGACUGGGAUAACUUCGGGAAACCGGAGCUAAUACCGGAUAAUAUUUUGAACCGCAUGGUUCAAAAGUGAAAGACGGUCUUGCUGUCACUUAUAGAUGGAUCCGCGCUGCAUUAGCUAGUUGGUAAGGUAACGGCUUACCAAGGCAACGAUGCAUAGCCGACCUGAGAGGGUGAUCGGCCACACUGGAACUGAGAAACGGUCCAGACUCCUACGGGAGGCAGCAGUAGGGAAUCUUCCGCAAUGGGCGAAAGCCUGACGGAGCACCGCCGCGUGAGUGAUGAAGGUCUUCGGAUCGUAAAACUCUGUUAUUAGGGAAGAACAUAUGUGUAAGUAACUGUGCACAUCUUGACGGUACCUAAUCAGAAAGCCACGGCUAACUACGUG
This 497-nucleotide ribosomal RNA is filed under the name uncultured bacterium. RNAcentral's name for it is "partial 16S ribosomal RNA". It matches the Rfam family "Bacterial small subunit ribosomal RNA", at positions 28 to 507 of the family's 1533-position model. The record is from RNAcentral.